UCGACAAACGGCAGAGCACGUAACGUAUAUCCGCUACCGCUACCGCUACGCCUGCAUUAUUGUGCAUUUAGAACAAGAUGGCGACACCGGCUCCACCAUUCUGAAAUGUUGGCCCAUGCAUGGUUACGCCACUGAGACAAGCCGGAAGCAGGGUCUGAGGCUAAGCGGAGUUGCGGGAUUUUUAAAAAUAUGCCUAUACCCAGCAACAUCUAUGUUCAACUUCAAAAAGUCGAAAAGUGAUUUACAAUCGCAAAUAGCCUGUAGGUAACAUUAAAGAACAUUUUCGGCGCCGACAAAUUUUAAACAAAAUGUAAAUUUUUGAAAAUAUUGAAAUAAAUUAUUUGAAAAUUUAA
Long non-coding RNA from Belonocnema kinseyi, 353 nucleotides. RefSeq lists it as uncharacterized. The record is from RefSeq and is a predicted model, not a curated record. NCBI's taxonomy places the organism in Eukaryota, Metazoa, Arthropoda, Insecta, Hymenoptera, Cynipidae. The transcript is spliced from 2 exons.